GCACUCGUCCGUUCGUGGCCCACCGUGGUGGUCACCAAAUUGAGGGCUUCCUGGAAGGACCUCCUCACGGUGCCCAUCCACUGGGUCAUGUGGGUCUGGGCCACUGUGAGUUUAUCUCCCAGGUAAUCCAUGGGGCCAGCCAGGAGGAGAGGGAAGAAGGAAGUUAGGGAGGGAGAGAGCAAUUAAAACGCCAGUGUCCUCUUGCCUCUUUGGACUCUUUUGCUCAUGGAAGUUUUGGGCUUGCUUGGAGGAAAAAAAAUUAAAAACAGCAGCUUUCUUCAGGCAAACCAAGGCUGUCUCUCCCUCCCUCUCUGGAAGGCAACACUGAUCCAGGAUCUCACUCUGUUGCCCAGGCUGGACUGCAGUGGCAUGAUCACAGCUCACUGCAGCCUUGGCCUCCCAGGCUCAAGCGAUCCUCCCACCUCAGCCUCCUCGGUAGCUAGGACUACAGGUGGAGCAACACCGUCAGUCAGAAGGCAGCGGAUGGCACAGGGCUUCCGCGUAAGGCCUGCAUCGCCUGAGUCAUGGUUUUCUCAUCUUGUAUGAGGCCCACCCCCUUCAAAAGGUUGUGACAAAAAAAACAACUGAGAUAAUUUGUGCCGCUGGCACAUAGUUAACACUCAAUAAGGCCGGGCGCAGUGGCUUACACCUCUAAUCCCAGCACUUUGGGAGGCUGAGGCAGGUGGAUCACUUGAGGCCAGGAGUUCGAUACCAGCCUGACCAACAUGGUGAAACCCCAUCUCAACUAAAAAUACAAAAAUUAGCCAGGCAUGGUGGUGUGCACCUGUAGUCCCAGCUACUUGGGAGCCUGAGGCAGGAGCAUCUCUUGAACCCGGGAGGUGGAGGUUGCAGUGAGCGGAGAUGGCACCACUGCACUCCAGCCUGGGCGACAGAACAAGACUCUGUCUCAAAACAACAACAACAACAAAAUAAUAAAUGGUGACCACAAGGGAUGAUCGUUUUUCUAUUAUAAUUCCUAUCAUCUCACUGUUCAAAUGAAUCACAGGACCCUAGACAGUCAGAAUCAAGACACCAGCAGGGACCAACCUAGGCCAACCUUCCCACUAAACUGAAGAAACAGGCCCAGACCGAGGGCUGCCCUAAGGCCUCACAGUCCAUCUGCAGCAGG
Molecule: long non-coding RNA, 1129 nt
Filed under: Homo sapiens (human)
Lineage: Eukaryota; Metazoa; Chordata; Mammalia; Primates; Hominidae
Description: HSALNT0405203
Source: RNAcentral